This 919-nucleotide ribosomal RNA is filed under the name Iberobathynella imuniensis. RNAcentral describes it as "SSU rRNA". It matches the Rfam family "Eukaryotic small subunit ribosomal RNA", at positions 1 to 904 of the family's 1831-position model. Lineage: Eukaryota; Metazoa; Arthropoda; Malacostraca; Bathynellacea; Parabathynellidae. The record is from RNAcentral.
GUACCUGGUUGAUCCUGCCAGUAGUCAUAUGCUUGUCUCAAAGAUUAAGCCAUGCAUGUCUAAGUACAGGCCGAAACAAGGCGAAACCGCGAAUGGCUCAUUAAAUCAGUUAUGGUUCAUUGGAUGUUACCUUGUUUUACUUGGAUAACUGUGGUAAUUCUAGAGCUAAUACAUGAUACCCCAGCUCCGACCGCAAGGAAAGAGCGCUUUUAUUAGAUCAAAACCAAUCGGGCUUCGGUCCGUUCUCACUGUGGUGACUCUGAAUAACUUUGAGCUGAGCGCAUGGUCCUCGAACCGGCGCCAUAUCCUUCAAGUGUCUGCCUUAUCAGCUUUCGAUUGUAGGUUAUGCGCCUACAAUGGCUAUAACGGGUAACGGGGAAUCAGGGUUCGAUUCCGGAGAGGGAGCCUGAGAAACGGCUACCACAUCUAAGGAAGGCAGCUGGCACGCAAAUUACCCACUCCCGGCUGGGGGAGGUAGUGACGAAAAAUAACGAUGCGGGACUCUUCCGAGGCCUCGCAAUCGGAAUGAGCACACUUUAAAUCCUUUAACGAGGAUCUAUUGGAGGGCAAGUCUGGUGCCAGCAGCCGCGGUAAUUCCAGCUCCAAUAGCGUAUAUUAAAGUUGCUGCGGUUAAAAAGCUCGUAGUUGGAUCUCAGUUCCGGACCGACGGUUCACCGCCCGGUGCUUACUGUCGGCUUCCGAACAGCCGCACGCCGGCUCGGCCAGGGUGCUCUUCAUCGAGUGUCCUGGUUUCGGCCGGCACGUUUACUUUGAAAAAAUUAGAGUGCUCAGCGCAGGCUGCAACGCCUGAAUAAUCUGUGCAUGGAAUAAUGGAAUAGGACCUCGGUUCUAUUUUGUUGGUUUUCGGAACCCGAGGUAAUGAUUAAUAGGAACUGUCGGGGGCAUUCGUAUUGCGACG